RNAcentral lists this ribosomal RNA (444 nucleotides) under uncultured bacterium. Its description in RNAcentral is "partial 16S ribosomal RNA". It matches the Rfam family "Bacterial small subunit ribosomal RNA", at positions 339 to 795 of the family's 1533-position model. The record is from RNAcentral.
CUACGGGCGGCACCAGUGGGGAAUAUUGCACAAUGGGCGCAAGCCUGAUGUAGCAACGCCGCGUGAGGGAUGAAGGCCUUCGGGUUGUAAACCUCUUUUAGCAGGGAAGAAGCGAAAGUGACGGUACCUGCAGAAAAAGCACCGGCUAACUACGUGCCAGCAGCCGCGGUAAUACGUAGGGUGCAAGCGUUGUCCGGAAUUAUUGGGCGUAAAGAGCUCGUAGGCGGUUUGUCACGUCUGCUGUGAAAAUCCAAGGCUCAACCUUGGACUUGCAGUGGGUACGGGCAGGCUAGAGUGCGGUAGGGGAGAUGGGAAUUCCUGGUGUAGCGGUGGAAUGCGCAGAUAUCAGGAGGAACACCAAUGGCGAAGGCACAUCUCUGGGCCGUAACUGACGCUAAGGAGCGAAAGCGUGGGGAGCGAACAGGAUUAGAUACCCUGGUAGUC